RNAcentral lists this non-coding RNA (103 nucleotides) under Enterovibrio norvegicus DSM 15893. RNAcentral's name for it is "GEMM cis-regulatory element". It matches the Rfam family "c-di-GMP-I riboswitch aptamer". Rfam says of the family: GEMM was predicted in a large-scale screen for bacterial structured RNA regulatory elements. The record is from RNAcentral. Lineage: Bacteria; Pseudomonadati; Pseudomonadota; Gammaproteobacteria; Vibrionales; Vibrionaceae.
CACAAUCAUCGGCAAACUGCUUGAAAAAGCAGGACGCAAAGCUUCCGGUCUAAGGGCAAUUACCCAAUAAGAGGUAACAGCUUACGACAGCGGGGCCGCCAUU